Molecule: long non-coding RNA, 13092 nt
Organism: Leopardus geoffroyi (Geoffroy's cat)
Lineage: Eukaryota; Metazoa; Chordata; Mammalia; Carnivora; Felidae
Exons: 12
Source: RefSeq, a predicted model, not a curated record
CCAACCGCACACUUCCUCCCUCCGUUUGACCCAUCCGGGGAGGGCGGGGGCUGCUGAGCUGGCAGUCCCACUGUUUAUCCGACCUGGUGCUCUGGCUUGGGCGGAGACAGUACCUUGAGCUCCGAGUGCCUUCUCCCACCUCCUCUGCCCUCUAGGCUUCAAGGGAAACAGAAGUUCUUCUCAAGUUAAACAACAAAGCGAAACGUCCUGUAUCCAAGUCAUAUGUAGAUAUGAACAAAGAGCAAAGAAUUUGUCCUGGAAGUCCUCGUAUUCUUCUCCUCAUCUUCCUGGUCACCUAUAAACUGAUCAUUGAGAAAGAGAAUGGGCUCACAAUGAAAGUCAGGUUUUACACUAGUCUGUUUUGCCCUGAGCUAUGGAGAGGAUCAAGAUCCCAGAGGAAUGGAUACUCCAACUGGGUGGGAACCAGAUGGGGAAAUUGAGGUCAAGAGAGAUCUCAGAUCUGGAACAAGGCUGGAGAGUGGAGUGCCUUGAAUACUAAGCUAAGGGAUCUCAGCUUUGCAAUGCGGACCAGUGAUGUUUCAACAUUUCCUCAUUUGAAUGCUUAUUCAUUGACCCACUUCCUACAUGCCAUGUGACCAGAUGUCCCAAGAAGAGUUCCUUUGGGAUGAAGUUAAUUCUCAUCCUUUGUAUACCAUUGUGAAAUAGCACUGCUGAGAUGGUGACAAGACACAUCUGAAGCAAUCACCUAGACGAGUGCCAAGGAUCCAAAAGCUUUAGCUUCUCAUCCUGCUGUUAACUUGUUCUGCUAGCCCAGACGGAAUCCUGAGCUCUCCUAUAGUUAAACAAGAAGCAUUCAUCCUCAGAACCAGUGGCUCUGGCCCCUUCUCCCACCAUGAACUCGACGUAAUAAAUAACCAGAGGAUACUGGAGUAGGAGGUGCCACAACCUUGUGUGACCCAGAUACUCGUUCAUUGAUUUUUCCCUACUAAUUAUUGAGCACUUCAGAUGCCCUGGGUGUUGAGGAUAAGCAAUAAAGAGGUUUCUAGAUCCUUUUGGGGUUGACAUAUGGGCAGUAUAAUCUUCUGUGAUCCUACCUCAGUGAAAACAUUCCAGUCAUCUGUGGGCAGGGGUAACAAAGGCCAUGAAACUUCUGCAGGUUUAGGGGUGGAGAGGGGCCUCCCUGCUGGGGGCCCAUCUCCUCUGCCACCUCUUUCCUGUCAUACAGCAGUGAGGAUCGGGACCUGCUCUGUCAACUCUGUUACGUGGUUUACUGGCCAAGGUAACCAGGAGAUCAGCCUGUGGAGUUUGGGGGUCAGGAGGGCUUGAGUUUGAGUCUUGACUCCAUCAUUAAUCAGUUGUGUGACUUUGGAAACUCAGUCUCUUCAGUUCACUCAAAAGGAGGCUGGGCUACGAGAAGUCCAACAAAGCACAUGGUAAGCAUUUUACUAGAUUACUGUUAAUUUUUUAAAGCUAUAUAUUCUUUGGCCAUGAACAAGCAAUGAAAGAGAACAAACAAUGAUCAGAAUGAUAGCUAACAUUUAUUGAGUGCCUAGGAUGGAUUAGGCACUGUUGAAAGAUUUCUCCAUGUACUAAAUUAAUUCUCUUCACCAUCAAUGAGGUCUGUACAAUUAACGUCAGUGUACAAAGAAGAAGCACAUCUAGCCACAGGUAGAGGAGUCAGGAUUUGAACCAAGGUGGCUGAACUUGAGCGCUUGCACUCACCAGCAGGAGGUACAACUUACAUACAGCAAAGUGCACAAAUCUCAUGAGAAAGCUUGAUGAGUUUUUAUAUAUGUAUACAUCCAGGUAGCCAUUACCCAGAUCAAGAUGAUCAGACGGGGAUUCAGAGAAGACGGUGAUUUGCUCAGACUUAAGCCACAGCAAAGCCAUGCCUGGAACUCAAUUACUAGAUAGAAGUUUCUUAUGAACUUCUAAGCUGUCUGAAAUGGGUGCUAUAUAUCACUCAACCUGGCUGCUGGUCAGAUGUGGAAAGGACAAUCUGAGUCAGAAGCCCUGGGUUCAAACCCCACAACUGUUACCAGUGUGUGAUGCAUGGCAAGGUACUUGCUGCUGUGAACUAACUGGAAAGUGGAUACCCCUGCUUCCCAGCAUUGCUGGAUUAAAGGAGAUCACGAUGCAGAGACACUCCAUUGGUUGAGAAGCACUUAACAUCAUUAUUAUCAUUACCAUCAAAAUAUAUUCUAAGGGGAUGCUUUGGAGCCUGAGAUGUAAGGUUGAGCUGAACAGAGGCAUGAUGCACAGAUAACUGUGGCUCAAACCUGAAGAGUGAAGCAGGGUGAGGCCCACGGUGUGGAGGCUGGCCAGAGCGGACAGUUACUGAGAACAUUCUAUGCGGUGAGCGCUGCUCUGAGUGCUCUUCCUCUAUCCUCCCAUUUAAUCCUCACAAAACCCUGUGAGGAACAACCUGUAUAUGCCUAUUUUCCAAAGAAGGACUUGAGGCACAGAGCACUUAAGCAACUCGCUUAAUGUCACAGUCAAUGGCAUUGAAACCCUGGCACCCCCAAGCAUAUGGUCUUUUCGUUCACCCUGCAUUCAUUCACCCAAGGCUGACACAGUGCCCCCUCUGUGCUAGGGGGCGGGGUGCAGAGCUGAACACUUUGGUUCCCCCAACCCCACAGCCCUCACCGUCUUUCUAAUCCAAUCCAGUUGGCACUCUCCCACACUUAACUCAAGAACUUCUCUGAAAUGUGGCUGGUCUGAGCUCAUGUGCUGUAUGUGUAGAAUACACACCAGGUUUAGAAGACCUAAUACAAAAAGAAUGCAAAAUAUACCAUUAAUAAUUUUUAAUAUUGACUGCAUCUUGAAGUGACUGUGUUUUGGAUAUAAACUAUAUCAUUAAGGUUUAUUGUACCUUUAAGAAAAAAAAGUGGCCACCAGAAAACUAAAGUCAUGUGGGCGUUCACAUGCUAUUUCUGUUGGAUGGCGUUGCUCUAGAAUGUGAAGUCCUUGAAGGCAGGGGCCGUCUCUGUAUUGUUCACUGUGGGUCCCAGGAGACAGAACAGGGCCAGUACACAAUAGUCCCUCAAUAGAGUUGUUGGAUAAUUGAAUAAAUGACCAAAUCCCACGCACCUUUGCCUGCUCAUCUGUUCCCUGUGAACACAAGGUCAGACCUCACUUGUACCUUGCUUUGUCUCUCCGGGAAAUCCCUCAGUUAUUCUGAGGCUUAAACAGAAAACGGAGGCUGCUUCAUGCCAAGAAAUGGAGAGGCUGGAUAUGUGGUGGAAUUUGGAAAAUAAAAAGGGUCAGAGUAUUUCCAGCCACAAUGGCAGCUAUCACUGACUGGAUGCAAAUUCUGUGCCUGGCAUCAUUCUCAACACUUUGUACGAGUGAGCCAUUUAAUUCUAACGACCCUAUGACAUCCAUCUCGCCAUCAGCUCCAUUUGAUAGAUGGGGGAAAUUAAAGCUCAGAUAGACUAAGUCACACCCCUGGGAUUACAGGGCUGGAUUUGUAACCAGGUCUGUUUGAUAAUGACACUUGGGUUCUCAACCACUCCCACAGAGCAUAGGGAAAAUGGGACUGGGAUUCCCCCUCCCCCACAGAAUGACCCUUCACCAGGUCCCCUUUGUGCUGAGGCCCCAGAGCAGCCCUAGACAGCAGAUGUCCUGGCUCUCCUGGGUUCUGGGGAACCUAUCAUCUGUGUGGUGUAUUACCACAUUUUCUGGGCAUCUAGGCUCAUUCUGCCAGUACAUCCAGCCAUAUCUUGUCAUGUAUCUUCUUCACCAGAUGGCUGGGCUGUUUGUGGGCUGGCUCCCCCACCUUCUGUACCUGUGACAUGGCCAUGAGCCAGCAGGUGAGUGAGCAUCUGGGGCAGGGAAUAGCCCCCACCAGUGCCUUCUGAGAACCCAUCCCUUCUUGUCCUUUGGGACCUUGGCUUCUACCGAUUCCUGGAGAGCAGAAACUCGCAUAGAGGCCCCAAACCACUUGUUCCAGUGCUGCUGAGGAAUGUGUGCUGAUCUUCCAUGUGUUUGUGUUAGUCCAUUGUCCCUUCAGGUCAGGUGGUGGGCCUGCAGGUCAUGAACCCAGGUGCUGGGAUCAGGCACCGUGCGCUUCAGUUCAGAACAUCACCUCUCUCUAGCCGUAUUGUUGGAGAGCUCAUUCUUUCUCUCUAAGGCUCAGCCUCCUCUUCAGUGAAAUGAGGUCAGUAAGAAACCACUUACGUUGCUAUUGUUUCCUGUCAAGGCGUAGCUCAAAGUCUUGACCCCCUGUCCUCUAAACUCAUACCGCAGUCCUGACUCCUGCAUGGAUUAACACCCAUUCAUUUGUCAUGUCACCUGGUGGUGUGCAUGCAUCUGGCAGGUAUGGUUCCCAUGGUCUUCAAAGAGAAAAUGCUUAGCACAUGAGCUAGCACUACUGCCCAGUUCAGGUCCUGAGCCUGCUCCUUCUUACUCCCUAUAUGGCCUUGGUGAGGUUACUCUACCUCUCUGAACCUCGGUUUCCUUAUCUCUAAGUGGCGAUAGUAAUACCCCUCUUGAAAGGUUGUGGUGGGACCACGUGGAACAGUCCUGGAAAACGCAUGUAAAAUGCGGUCAUGACUUCAAGAGGGGCGUGUUCAUGUCCCUGUCCAUCCACACCCUACCUGGCACCUGCUCUUCCCAUGAUGACCAGCCCAUCUCCGUGAAUGCAACUCAGCUUUCCCUUUGCUGAAGCCAAAAAAACUUGGCAUCAUCGUUGACUCCGUUCUCUCUCAAACAGCCGUGAAAUACUGUUGGCGGGUUGUCCCGCCUUCACCUGCUCCACCCCUCUGCUGACCCUGGUCAAAGUCGCCAGCAUCUCCUACCUGCAUCUCAACUCCUCCCUGGUCUCCCUGUUUCCAUCCUUGACUCCACAGCAUGAUCCUUUGGUGGGAUUAGCUUGUUUGUAGAUCGUUUUUAUUUUUUUAAGCAAAUACUUAAAUGGUGCUCCCUAGGUGCCAGGCACAAGUCUGAGUGCUUUACAGAUUUCAACUCACCUGGAUUCUUACAACAGCCCCAGGAAGACAGUACUUAACUGAAGUCACCCAUCUAGUCAGUGGCAGGGCUGGGGUGGCCAUCUGGCUCCUGAUUGGUGCUGCCAACAGUGAUCCUCUUAAAACACAUCAGAUUGUGUCCCUGCUCUGCUCAGACCCUCCAGUGGCUUCUCGUGGGCUCGGAGUAAAAGCCAAAUCCUCACCAUUCUGCUCUAGCUACGUUGGCCUUAAACACCGCAAGCACACUCCUGCCUCAGGGUCUCUAUGCUUGCUGGUUUGCUUUCAUGUCCUCAGCCCAACCAGCCCUGAUUUUCUCAGGGCCAUGAGCUCUGUUAAUGUCCAUGAGUUUGGACAUUAUCUGAAGGGAAUGAGGAAUCCACUAAGGAGCAUGGAAAAAAAGUCACGUAAUGUGAUGUGCCGGAGCUUGUACCUGCUCACCAGGGCCAGUUGUUGAAUUUUUAGGAGAUUCGCAAGCUGAGUAUUAAAUCAUGGUAGCUUGAAAUUCAAAAACAGGUGAGAGAGAGCAUUUACACCAUGGAAGUUGGCAAGCACUACAAAUCAUGGCUCCCCUCCCACCCUGCCUCCCCAGAGAGCUGUCGUCAAGUAUUUACCAGCACGCCAGUGGCUUUGACAAAGGUUUGUAUGAAGUGCAAGUAAGGUGUUAACUUACUAAGUGAGGACAGUCUUCCCAGAAGACCUGGCAUUUAAACUGGGUCUUGAGACAUCAGUAGGCACUUGCCAAAGGUGAGAAGGCAUCCCAGACUGAGCAAACCAAGUGAGGAAAAGCACAAAGGUAUGAAAUUUCCCUUUGGGGUUAUUAAGUACUGCAGGGUGGCAAUGGUGUGUGGAGGGGAGGAGGAGGGGGAAGGCAUGUUGUGUGGAAAGAGAACAGCAGGGAUAGGCUGGAGGCAGAUUGCGUGAGAACCUCAAGACCAGGUAAGGGGCUUGGACUCUCUCCUGGGGUCCUCGGGAGCCAUGGCAGGUUGUGGAGCAAGGGUAGGUCAAGGCAUUGCUGAACACUGCAUGUUAGCAAGCCUAUUCUGGUUGUCGUGUGGAGAAUGCAUCGGAGAUGGGAGGUCAGGCACUGUUUGGAACCAGUUCACUUUGCAUGCUUAUGGUGAGGGUUAGGAGUAGAUGAUACAGACAGUGCCUGCCUAUGGAUAUUCCCAUACAGCUCUGUGGGAAGACUUGUUCCAUGGAGGUCCCAUGAGCCUCUUUUUGGGGGGUUAGUUCACUGCCAAUUGCAAAGCUUUCUGGGAAACAAGAAAAUUGCAGUGAGUCCUCCUUGUAAGGGAGCGUGUAAGGGGGUUGUCGUCCAUCUGACCUUGGGACCUCCCUCCCUUGGGACCCAGGCUCCAUGCACAGUCAGUCCCGGGAAGGCCAUAGGAAGUGGGUGGAAAUAAUAGCAAGUGUGGGCACUUUCUAAUUGUAGACUGCUCAAGGCUCUUUACGUGUGUUAACGCCUUUGGUUCCCCAGCGUGCCAUUGGGGGAGGAACAGUUGUCAUCCCCAUCUUACAAGUGAAACAGAGAUUAGGCAACUUGUGCGAGGGCCAGCCAGUGCACAGAAGAGCUGGACUCCAACCCUAGAGACCAUCCUCUUUACUGCCAUCCUAUGCUGCCUCUCUGUUUUCAGAUACAAUGGUUCUUAUUUUUGCAAUGGCCACAGCUCCUACUUUUAUUUUCCAUUUUGUACGUAGAGAAGCUGAGGUUCAAGGAGAUUUCACGGUUGUCCCGGGCCAGUGAGCAGCAGAGCUGGCCCUCAAACCCUGCAGCCUGAGUCCCGCCUUCCAGGAAGGAGGGAGACAAGAUGAGAGAAGGUAAAGAUGGGCCCCAGAGGGCAAGAGUGCCCCAGCCUGUGAGGUUUGGGUCCGGUGCUUUCAAAAGGAUGAGAAUUUUUGUCUUCAUAGUUUGGAAAUCCCAUAGGAGGACACAAACAUCACCCACAAUGGCUCUUUUCCCGCCACACCCACCUCCUCUCUUGGCCAAGACUUUGGUUCUUCCAGGAUGUGACAACAAAAUCUUGCCUCAGAGUUGGAGGAUGCAAAUGUCAGGGCUUCCCUCUGGGUCUUAGAGGAUAGGUGUUUCGGGGAGUGGUUUCACUGGGAGUGAAGAAAACUGCUGUCCAAACCCCAUGUCACUUUGCAUUUUGAAACUCUGCCCGUAGGCCUUGGUGUACAUCCCUGAUAGUUAACACACACCAAGUGGUGGAGCCUGGAGAGGUGCCCGGUGCCCAUCACAGCCUGGGGAAGCCCCAAGAAGCUGGCACAUGAUGAAUUAGGAGUUACCCGGUUUACUGAGCAGCAUCAGCAUCAACUUUGGGGGCCAACUUCGAAGAAAUCCAAGGAGCCUAUAACAAGAACUCCCAUUUAUUGAGCACUCAGUAUGAACCAGGAACCAGGCUAAGCAUCUCACUGACUACUCAAACAAUGCUAUACCUAAGCCUUGGUUGAAAGAUGGGAAACUGAGUUUAAGUGUCCUGCCCCAGGACAUUUGAAUCCAGGUCAGACUCCAUGUGUGCAAAUUAAACACCUGCACCCUGACUGCUGUGGGGGAGCGAAGGCAGAAGCAGCAGGACCAGUGAGGAGGUAGACACAAUAAUCCAGGUGGGAAAAAAUGAUAGCUCAGACUAAGGUGGUGUUGGAGAAGUGGUACGGGAUGCUUGGAUUCAAGGUGUAUAUUGAAGCCGUGUUGAUGGUAGGAUGUGAAACGUGAGAAAGAUAUUAAUCAAAAGACAAAACCUAGAUUUUUGAUCUGAGCAACAAAGCGCAAGGAAGUGUCAUUUGCUAAGAUGGGGACCUCAAGGGAAGGGCAGGGUUUGGGGGUGAAGAUCGAAAACUAACCUGGAGGGUCAAUUCAACAACUGAAUGGAAACACCAUCAGGGGAGAGGUAGAGAGAAGAGGUGUACAUUUGGUUGUCAUCAGUGGGUAGAUGCAGUUUAAAGUCCUGGGCUCGAUGAGAUUGUCAAGUAAAGGACUAUAAAUAAGAAAAUGGCCAAGGGUGGAGCUUUAGAGAGUCUAGCAAUUAAAGGGUGAGCUGUGUGUGUGUGGGGGGGGGGGGGGUAGCUAGCAGAGGAGACUGAGCAGGAAAAAGCAGUGGGUAGGAGGACAACCAGGUGAGGGUUAAAGAAAAACAUGUUUUGGGGUGCUUGGGUGUUUCAGUUGGUUAAGUGUACAACUCUUGAUUUCGGCUUAGGUCAUGGUCUCCCAGUUGGUCCUGAGAUUCAGCUGGAUUCUGUGAUGGGUGUGGAGCCUGCUUGGGAUUCUCUCUCUCUCCCUUGUCCUCUGUCCUUACCCUGUGCACACACACGUGUGCAUACUCUCUCUUUCUCUCUGUCUCAAAAAAUUAAAACUGAAAAAAGAAGAACAUGUUUCAAGAAGGAGAGGUGAUCAUCAGGUCAUUGCUGCUGAAGGUCAAAUAAGGUAAGGAGAGAUUUGGCCAUUGGCUUUAGCAAAGCGUAGCCCUUUAUUGACCCUGAUACCCUAGUGAUGACAAACUCUUUAGACCUAUCAUGGUGGCUGCCCUUGAAUUUCUGGGUAAGGAUCCCAAGAUUAUGGAGCGUAGAGAUGACAGAGCCACCAUUUAUUUAGACAGUCUUCUAAGUUUGGACUCUGGAUCUGCCAGUAGCUGUGUGACCUUGGGUAAGUUGCUAACCCCCUCUGAACUUCACUUUCUUCAUCUGUAGAUGGGCAAAGAUAAUGCCUGUCUUAUAAAUUAUGGUGAAGCAUGGAUUACAUGAAAUCAUAUAUACAAAACAUCAAAUGCCUAGUAGGUACUUAUUAUUAUAAUUAUUAUAAUUAUUAUAAUUAUUGGUUUUAUUAAUAUUGUCAGCUUCAGAGUGGUACCUAUAUUUCUGAGAAAAUCAAUGUCCUAAUUUUGAAUGGGGCUUCAUUAAUGCUAAAGAAGGUGAUGGAAAGUUCUUUGCAGUUUCAGACAUUCUUCUCCCUGUGCCACCCCAAAUGCUCAGCACAGAAUUAGACCUAAUCUGAUUAUAUCAAUCUCUGCUUUGAGCAGUUUGUUGUGCUCUCUGGGAAGAGACCAAGACUGCUUCCUGGACCCACAAGGCCUGAGUAGUCCAGGCCCCCCACCUUGUCUCACACCAGGUCACUUCUCCAACUCCUCAUAGUUUCCUGAGAGUGCUGUUCUCUCUCCAGCAACAGGGCAUUGCUCAUGCUGUUCCCUCUUCCACAAAUUCCUUCUCUUCCCUCUUCCCUGUGUUAAAUUCUCAUCUUUCUCCUCCCGGGCCAAUGGUCACUCCCUUGGGAAGCCCUCCCUGAGCUCCUGGGCCGAGUCAAUUUCUUUGCUAGAAGUUGCCAGAGCUCCUGUGCCUCCUUCAUGGCCCUUACCCUAUUUCUGACCCUCCAUUCUUGGCAUGAACCUUGGUGUAAUACCUGACUUCACUAGACUCAAAGUGCAUGAGGGCAAGGCCAGGCCUGCUCUGCUCACCAGUGCUUAUCUUGUGUCAAGCCCAGGGUCCGGCACACAGGGAAAAUAAAAUACAGAAUUGUUGACUGAGUGAAUGAGUAGUUGUUUAACACAGUGAAUACGUGAACAGAUGGCUUUCCUUUUGCAGAGCAAUGCAGGUGUCUCUGAAAGGUUGUUUGAAAGGCAAAUAUAAAACCAAAUUUUAUUCCAUUUACUUUAAUUACAAUACUAAGGAGUGGGAAUAAAUCUUGCCCUUGAAAUAUAAUAAAGCCAUACAUUAAAACCUGGACUGUCAUUUCCACUUGUUUCCUUUCUACAAUGAUAAUCUCCUGAUAAGACAUAAAUAAUGGCACUUAAAAUAGGUUCCCGACUUGGCUCGGCCACUAACUAGCUGCUGAUCAUCGACAAGUCACUUAAGCUCUGCGAGUCACCAUUUACCUCAUAGGGUUCGUGUGAGGCUCUGGGUUGGUGGUGUGAAAGCUCUUUGCAAGCAAGGUCUUAUUUAUUAUCCAUUAUUCUCAAGAAUAUGAAUAACAAGCAGGACAGGCUGCGUGCCAGAGAUGGUUGAGUAGGUUUGUGGGGCUGGGGGAUGGCGGCCACAGAGAAAUAUGGAAAGGAAUGAGCUUGGUUAGGAAAUUUAAGAUGGGGAUAGAGGGGUGGGGGAUCAGAGAUCAUGAAGGCUGGGGGGUUAUGUCUAUCAGGCUAAGCAAAAAAAGGGGGGGUGUUGGUGUCUAAAGCUGGGGAAGGUGACCUGAAUAAAAUCACCCUCGUGGCUGAAUUCUUGGAAGCCACAUGAAGGAAGGAAAGAAUAACCCUCACCCUUAGGCUUGCCAUGUGGUUGCACAGGAGAGAUGCCGGGUGUCCCCCAGGUGACCUUGGCCUCUUAGGGCCGUGACUCUGCGGACAGGUCUGGGAGGCUGUCCAGGCGAAUUCUGCUGCCCAGUGCAGCCUGAGUUCAGUCCCCAGGAGCUGGCAUGGAAGCCCCCAAGCCCUGCAGUGGGAGCUAAGCCAGCAGGGCAGGGAGACGAGGGGUGAGCAAUCCAAAGCCUCCAGGGCUGGGCAGGAAAGCAGUAAAUGUGAGGAGUAGGCAGCCCCUGGAAACUCGCGGAGACCGGUGUCAUUCGUUCAUUCAUUCAUUCACUCACUCAUUCAACAAAUAAUAUUAAUUAAACAUCUCUCUAGGUGUCACGCACUGCUUGGUGCUGAAGAUAGAGCAUUUACAUUCCAGUGGGGGAGGCCGACUACGAGAAGUAAACAAACACAGAGUAAAGUGUCAGCUUGCGAUGGGUGCUAUGAAUAAAGAUAAUGCAGGGAGAAGAGAGAGUGAUGGAGGCAGUUAUUUUAAGUUGGAGGACCAGGAGAGGCCUCUCUAUCCUCCCUCCUCCCACACUCUCAGUGAUUUAACCAGAUUUCAUAGGGUUUUCUGGCCUCGUUCAUAGGUGCUAAUGAGCAGCUAGGCGUUGGCGUGGCUACAGUGAUAAAAAAGGGUUUCCCUGCACCCUCUGUAUCCCCGGCCUCUGAAGUAGGCUCAGCCCCAGCCAAGGGGAGCAGGUGCAAGGCUCAAAUCCUGAUUAAGAGUAAGUAUUCCCAUGUGUCUGUACAGCUGGAAACAGCUGGCCCUCUGAGUCAGCCGAGAAGGAGGCUGCAGGCUGCAGGCCAGUGGGUGGAGGGGGCGCAGGAGGGAAGCUCCAGGCUACAGUCGUCUGUCUCCUGCUCCGACAGCCUUACUCAGAGGGGAAUAGACAGACACAUGGAAUGCAGUAAAUCAGGGUAGGUCUCACUGCCCCAAAUAUGCACCUGCCUCACACCCAGUCUCUGACUGAAAUCUUACCAUGAGAUAGUCACUUUUGUGGAAGGUGCAAGGGCAUCUCAAAAUCUCUUUUUUUUUCUAAGACAGAUAAUGGCAAGGCAUGUGAUGACUUUCCAUCUCAAAGAGAAAGCUCUUACUAUGACCCAUAAGGAACUACAUGAUAUGCCAUGCCUGUUUUUGGGGGCUGGCUUUAUAAUUUGGGGGGGGCCCAGUACAAAAGGGCAAAUUGGCCCUGCUACAUUAUUGUGAGCUCCCUGAGGGUAGAGAUUCUUAUCUUUUUGUUUUGGUUUGAUGGCCAUUCUGUUGCCAACGCCUGGCACCCGACAGAAGCUCAUUAUGUAUUAUUGUUGAGCGAAGGUGUUUGAGUCAUGAUGUGGAUGUGUUGGGAGGGCUUCUUUUAACUUUUAGGAAGUAUUACUGCGCAUUAAGCACUGGUUUACGGCAGCGGUUGUCAACCCUGGCUGCACAUUGUUUUUUCUGCCCUAUCGUGGAGGUGUGUGCUGUCCGUGGAUAAAAGUUCUCUCCCUUCUUUCUUCUGACCUCUCUCCUCUCCAUGAGCCUCGGGGUGGGCACUGUGGUUAUUCCCGUUUUGCUGGUGAAGACAGCGAAGCUUGGAGAGGUGAAGAAGCUAAGUUGUGCAGUCUGUGAGCGGAGGGGCCUGGAAGGGAGCCCUAGCAGGCUGAUGUCAAGCCCUCCCACAGCUAGUCAUUGUGCCACAUGGCCGGCACCAAGUGUGUUCCUUCGUGGAAGCGGGACAUUCAUGAACCUCAUGUGUUUCCCUGGCCUCAUAGUCAAAACACCUGGGGCUCAUCCCCAGCUCCUCCACAGGCUGGUGUGUGACUGGGGCUCUUCUACCCGUGUGAUGGUGACACUGCUUCACUGACACUGCUUCACUGUUAGGUUUAGAGUCCCUCCUUUUGGGCCAGGAUGCGUCGCGGUAAAUGCCUUGGCCAACAGAGUACAAUGGAAGUAAUACUAUGUGACUUCUGAGACUAGAUCAUGAAAGUGUCCGCCUGCCUCUUUCACUCACUCAAUCUUGAGACAUGUGCCCCGGGGAGCCUUGUGUCAACAGGGGAAGACAGAAGAGGCAGAAGAGGAAGUCAGAGUGAUGACAUGUGAGAACAGCUCAGCUCACUGUUGCUGGCUUGAAGACAGAGGAAGGGGCUUUGCACUGUGGAACGUAGACAUCUUCUAGAAGCUGGAAAUGGUAAGGAAGUAGAUUCUCCUCUACAGCCACCAGAAAGGAACACAGCCAUCCCAACACCUUGACUUUAGCCCACUGGCACUCAUUUUGAACUUCUGACCUACGGAACUAAGAUAAAUAUGUGUUAUUUUAAGUCACUGAGUUUGUGGUAAUUAGUCAUGGCAGCAAUAGAAAACUAAUGGAGUUGAAACAGAAUAACAGGUACUCUCUACAGAACACAUGAAUGAAUGAUACAGAACCAUGUAAUGAAAUCAGAGAGAGAAAAGUGCUUAGAAUUCAAAGGAGGGAGACAUCUUUGCAGAUGUAGUCGAGAAAGGGUUCUUGGGGAAGGAGGAUUGUGGUUGUAGUAUUUUGCAAGCCUAACAAAAGGAGAUUUCUGGCUGAGAAAAGUAGAAUGUUCAAAGGCAGGAAUGAAUUGACAUGUUGCAGUCACUGAAAUUGCAAGGGUACAGUUGGAGGAGAGUAUGAGUUGGGGUUAGGUAGGUGAGAAAGGGCAGCUGAUGGAGAUUCUACAAAUCUGGGAUAAGAUGUUUUUAUUUGUUCCAGUUAGUCAAGAGAAGGCAGUGUAAGUUUUUGAGCAGAAACCUUUUCAUGAUGAAACAGUGGUGCCUGAGAUGGGUUAGGGACAACAGAAGCCAGAGGUGGGCCAGCCUGUCUGCAGGAGCAGUGGCUGUGAUUCAGAAAUUGCGGAGACAUGAGGGAGGAAGCAGAGACCCCUGGAAGGCG